CCUACGGGAGGCAGCAGUGAGGAAUAUUGGUCAAUGGACGAGAGUCUGAACCAGCCAAGUAGCGUGAAGGAUGACUGCCCUAUGGGUUGUAAACUUCUUUUAUAUGGGAAUAAAACGUUCCACGUGUGGGAUUUUGUAUGUACCAUAUGAAUAAGGAUCGGCUAACUCCGUGCCAGCAGCCGCGGUAACACGGAGGAUCCGAGCGUUAUCCGGAUUUAUUGGGUUUAAAGGGAGCGUAGGUGGAUUGUUAAGUCAGUUGUGAAAGUUUGCGGCUCAACCGUAAAAUUGCAGUUGAAACUGGCAGUCUUGAGUACAGUAGAGGUGGGCGGAAUUCGUGGUGUAGCGGUGAAAUGCUUAGAUAUCACGAAGAACUCCGAUUGCGAAGGCAGUUCACUGGACUGCAACUGACACUGAGGCUCGAAAGUGUGGGUAUCAAACAGGAUUAGAUACCCCGGUAGUC
Molecule: ribosomal RNA, 460 nt
Filed under: uncultured bacterium
Lineage: Bacteria
Description: partial 16S ribosomal RNA
Rfam family: Bacterial small subunit ribosomal RNA
Source: RNAcentral